Molecule: long non-coding RNA, 235 nt
Filed under: Callithrix jacchus (white-tufted-ear marmoset)
Lineage: Eukaryota; Metazoa; Chordata; Mammalia; Primates; Cebidae
Description: lncRNA (ENSCJAG00000078164.1)
Source: RNAcentral
UACAAUUCAAGAUGAGAUUUGGGUAGGGACACAAAGUCAAACUAUAUUGAUGUAUUACAGAAUAUUACUGAAGUCACAGUUUCUACUCUUGCCUAGGGUCCAUGUAUCAUUAAAUAAUCUUGUUCUCAAAGCCCAGAAGAACCAUGCCAGGAUAAAGCCUGAUCUAAAGAACUAGAAAAUAAACACUGAAAAAAGACAUUGCUACUUGUCUUAAGAAUCCCUCACAAAAUUAUGG